GGUGGGUUGGCCGAGCGGUCAGGCGCUGGCCUGCAAAGCCAGUUAGCGGGGUUCGACUCCCCGACCUACCUCCA
This 74-nucleotide transfer RNA is filed under the name Acidobacteriota bacterium. Its description in RNAcentral is "Acidobacteria bacterium tRNA-Cys". It matches the Rfam family "tRNA". From Rfam's summary of the family: Transfer RNA (tRNA) molecules are approximately 80 nucleotides in length. Their secondary structure includes four short double-helical elements and three loops (D, anti-codon, and T loops). The record is from RNAcentral. Lineage: Bacteria; Pseudomonadati; Acidobacteriota. RNAcentral also lists the same sequence under 1 other name.